RNAcentral lists this long non-coding RNA (498 nucleotides) under Rattus norvegicus (Norway rat). RNAcentral's name for it is "long non-coding RNA NONRATT025866". Lineage: Eukaryota; Metazoa; Chordata; Mammalia; Rodentia; Muridae. The record is from RNAcentral.
GUGAACCUGAUUGCUUCCCUUGGCACCUGGGAUGUGGCAGGGGAAGUAACAGGGGUGACUCUCACUGGAGAGGGGCAGUCGGACCUCACCCUUGCCAGCCCAAUUCUGGAUAAACUCAACCGACAGCUGCAACUGGUGACUUACAGCAGCCGGAGCUACCAAGCCAACACAGCAGACACAGGUGGGAGGCCCGCAGAGGGGCAGGGACAGACAAAAAGAACAGAAAUAACCAGGAGAGCAAAUGACAGCCUGUGGGAGGAUCUCGGGCAAUGGCCAGAGCAGCCUAGACACACAAUGAAUGUUGCAAGUGGGCCAGCAGGGCCAGGAGUCAGAGGAGCCUUUGUUUAUCUGGGGCCAAAACAGGCCAGGGAGAAACCAGAGCUGGAGAGCCCGUUCCCACUUCUGUCCAUCAUCACAGCUCCAGGAAGUGACCUGUUCUGGCUGCUUCUAGCCCAACCAAGCCAAGCUCCCUUUCUCUUCCUCUUUUUCUCCAAAACU